GCCAGCAGCCUUAUCACCCUGCAGCUCUCAACUGGCAGCCCACUGAAGCUCAGCAGGGUUGAGCCUGGCCAGUACCUGGGUGGGAGACCUCCUGGGAAGCUAUGGUUGCUGCUCGAA
This 117-nucleotide ribosomal RNA is filed under the name Lepisosteus oculatus (spotted gar). Lineage: Eukaryota; Metazoa; Chordata; Actinopteri; Semionotiformes; Lepisosteidae. The record is from RNAcentral.